UACUCCGGAGUUGGCAUUUGUCACCGCGAAGUCUGUUUAUAAUCACAGACUUCUAUAUUACUAUAUGUAACGAAUUAGAAUCACGGACCAAGUAUGUAGGGUAUGUUCUAAACUUAUAAAUUAUAAUAAAUACGAUGAUAAUAGUGGUAAAUGAUUAGGUACGACCAUGUCCAUGAGUUUGUCUGAUGAUAACACUUCCUUAAAGGUUAUCAUAUUAUGAACUUAAAAGUUAAAUUAAAUUAAAAUAAACUUAGAUAAUAGAAGAAUUCUAUUAUCUAUGCUAUUGCCACGUCUUGGGGGACUCAGAAACCGCCUUUUCACAAAUAUAUCCGUGUGCCUUUCUCUCUUCCACAUUUAAAGACCGCGACCACUCGCAUUAUAUGCUUUAACAUGGCCUAUUCAUUCUUCUACUAUCUAUGAAAAUAAAUGUCUUAUUACUUCAAUCAAUUUGAUGUUAUUAAGACAUCGUAGUUAUUGUGUUUAAAUUGUUGUCAACUGGUUGUUAUGUUUGGAAAUGUUUGCAUUAGUUUAUCAGAGGAUGUAAUUUCGAUAAUUUUACCAAAAGCUCCCAAUAGUGUUUGCAGAUCAAUAAGCCGGAAACUGUUCAGCAUGGUUCUAUCACCUUCGUCAACGGAGUAAUUAUUCAUAUUCAUGGUCACUAAAAAAAAAAAUUUUAAUUUAUAGUUGUAGAUUUGUGAUAAAUUAAAACUAUGGUACUUAACCAGAUAAAGUCUUGCAAAGGGAGACAAAUAUUUGAAAGCUUGUCUCGGG
Aphis gossypii (cotton aphid) is the source of this 771-nucleotide long non-coding RNA. RefSeq lists it as uncharacterized. The record is from RefSeq and is a predicted model, not a curated record. The transcript is spliced from 3 exons. Lineage: Eukaryota; Metazoa; Arthropoda; Insecta; Hemiptera; Aphididae.